AUGCCCGGGGGAGCUGCACCCCCCCCCCGGCUCCUGCCUGGGCACCCAGCCCCACGGGGACCCUGCGGGUGCCCGGGGUCCGUCCUGCUUGGGGGGUCCCGGGGUGGGCUCAGCAUCGCCGCUCCCCGCGCCCAGCACCGGCCCCGGCGAGAGCGGAGCUGGGGAGGCCCUGGGGAGGGUUUUGUCCCCCCCCCCAGGACCCCGGUGAUGAAGAACUGCAAAUGGCAAUGGGACCUGCCUGCCACGAGCCCCUCGCCGAGUUGCUUUUCUGUGAAUAAAACCAGCCCUGCCCAGGCCCCCGCGCCUCCUGUGCUCUCCUGUGCGCUCCCAGCACCCCUGGAGCCGCCUGCUGGGGGGACGCAGGCGCUGGCCCCAAAAUCUGGGGUGUCCUGGGGGUGCUCCUGGGCUGGGGGGAGCCGGGGGUACCCCGCUAUGGCUGGGCCUGCACCCCAAGACCCACACAGGGACAGUGCUGGGGUCUUCUGCGGGGCCAUGGGGACAUGGCCGGGGUGGGCACAGGGACACGGGAUGGGGACAUUGCAGGGCACGGGGAUGGGGGCACUGCAGAUGAUGGGCAAGGGGACACCGCACAGAACCACGGACUGGUUUGGGUUGGGAGGGACCUCAAAGCCCCCCCAGUCCCACCCCCCUGCCCCCAGCCCCAGCUGCCCAAAGCCCCAUUCACCCCCUCCAAGCUCAGCACCGGAGCCCCCCGCACCCGGAGCCAUCCCUGGGGGUGCUGGGGAGGGGGCUCGGGGCACUGCAGCCCCUGGGGGCCAGGAGCUGCCGGUGGCCGGAUCCGUCCCCAGCAGGGCCCCGGCACACACGGUCCCUUGUGUGGCCGUGGGGCCGCAGCCAGACCCCGCUGCAGGAAGGGCAGAGACCCGGCGGCCCCGCACAAGCCGCCUUUGUUCCCCGCCAGCUUCCUCGGCAGAUCUGGGGGGGCCCCGGGGGCCUGGCGUGGGCGACGGUGCCCACAAGGCUGGGGGGGUGCCCAUGGCCCCAUCCUGUGCCGGGGGCACGUGCUGGCCGCCAGCCUCGCCGCAGCCCCUUGGGGAUGGUGCAAAGACUCCCCAAACCUCCCAGACCCCACAGAGCCCCCCAGGCACUCUGUGGGUGCCCCACACACCCCGUCCCCAUGUCCCCAGGGUGCUGCCCCCACGGGGACCCCAGGGCUGCAGC
This 1182-nucleotide long non-coding RNA is filed under the name Anas zonorhyncha (Eastern spot-billed duck). Its description in RNAcentral is "lncRNA (ENSAZOG00000012484.1)". Lineage: Eukaryota; Metazoa; Chordata; Aves; Anseriformes; Anatidae. The record is from RNAcentral.